AAAAAAAACCCUUCAGCAUUUCAAAGAAAAUGCAUAAGUAAGUCAUAGUUCAGUCAUGGUACCAAAGCACAAGCACAGAUAGGAAAAAAAGUAAGUAAAAUAUAAAAUCUAAAAAUGAAAGUCAUUUGUGGUGUAAAUCAGGAAAGUGAGAAGGCAGAUUACAGAAUGGGAGAGAAUAUUGUAGUUACAAAUCACUUGUCUUAUAAGAAGCUGAUGUCCAUAACAUGUAAAGAACUCUCAUCAGCUAACAAUAAUAAUGAAAAAUGAAAACAACAAAAAAGUUUGAACAGACACAUGUUGAAAGAAGAGCUAAGCAUGGCCACUUAACAAUGGGAGAUGCUCCUUGUUAGUCAUUAGGGAAUUAUAAGUCAAAACUCCACUUCCAGCCCUCCAGAAUGACAGCUGUCCCAAAGACAACCUAAGGACAGAUAGUGCACUGGACCUUAGCCAAAGGGCUGAGAGGACAGGAGGGAAGAAAUACUGACUGAUGAUGUAACCAGUCGGAGUUACAGUCAGAUCAGCACCAAGUGCUGGCUUCCUUACAUACCUAAAGGGGACUGUAGGUGGUAGCACACAUGUAUUUCAAAGAACUCAAGAUUUUAAAUGUUUUCAUUGCAAGGAAGCAGGAAUUAUUUGAGGUAGUAGAUAAGUUCACUCUAGCUUCUACAGGGAUGUUCUUAGCAGUAGUCUUUCUAAGCAUUACUUAUUUUUAUUUUAUGUGUAUGAGUGUUUGCUUGUAUAUAUGCAUGUGCAUGAUGUGCACCCCUUGGGCCCUUAGGAGCCAGAACAAGGCUGUGGUGAUAUUUUGUUUAUGAUAUAACAAAUACAGCUUGCCUGAAGAUCAGAGAAGCAAAGUAGCCAGGCACUAGCUCUUACCUCUACCUCAGACCAAAGGGGCGACCUGUCCUCAGACUCCUUCUCCAGACUUCACUGCUCCUCAAACGGCACUGAGCUCCUGUCUUCUACCUUAUACAUUCCUUUCUAGUGCUGGGAUAAAAGGCGUGGGAUCCCAAGUGCUGAGAUCACCUUUGUGUGAGUUCUGUUUCUCUUUUGGACUGGAUCAGUUUCGUGUAGCCCAGGGUGGUCUUGAAUUCACAGAGAUCCGCCUACCUCUGUGUCUCUAAUGCUGGGAUUAAAGGUGUGUGCCACCACUGCCUGGCCUCUAUGGCUAGCUAGUGUGGCUAGCUUUGCAUUCUGAUCUCCAGGCAAGAUUUAUUAGAUCAUAAACAAAAUUCCACCGUACAUUUGUGGCAUGUUGUCAAGACACCAGGUGAAUGCUUGGAACUCAACCCCCAAGAACUGAACUCUAGGCCACUGCAGGAGCAAGAAAUGCUAACUACUGAGUCAAUCUCUCUAGCUCCAGAAGUAUUAUUCUUUUUUUAAAAUAUUUUAUUUAUUUAUUAUGUAUCCAACAUUCUGCUUCCAUGUAUAUCUGCACACUAGAAGAGGGCACCAGAUCUCAUAACCGGUGGUUGUGAGCCACCAUGUGGUUACUGGGAAUUGAACUCAGGACCUCUGGAAGAGCGGUCAGUGCUCUUAACCUCUGAGUCAUCUCUCCAGCCCCCAAGAAGUAUUAUUCUUAAUAGCCAAAAAGUAGAAAUGGAUUACAUAAUCACCAAAUGAUGAAUGAGGGGAAUAAUAUGUCUACCAGUGCAGUGGGGGUCUUGUAAGUAAUAGAAAAGGAUGAGGCACUAUAUGCUACAACACUACUAUAACAAUCCCUCAAUGAGAACAUCCCACUAGUGAAUACAGUCAAUAUUCAGGCCACACCCAUGGUUCUCUUCACCUGCAUUGUCCAAAAGAACAAAAUCUCCAGGGACAGUAAGUAUAUGGUGCUUUUCUAAGGACUGAUGAUGUGUGCCCAUGUAUAUCUGUCUAUCAUUGUGUAUGUUUGCACAUGUGUUUGACUGUAUUGUAUCUGUGUGCAUGUGUAGGUACUUGUGUAUACAUGUGUAAAUGGGUGUGUAAGUGUAUGCAUUCAUGUGUAUCUGUAUACCAAUGUGCAUAUGUGGUAUGUGUAUGUGUGCACAUGUGUUUGACUGUAUUGUAUCUGUGUGAAUGUGUAGGCACAUGUGUAUAUGUAUGUGUAAAUGGGUGUGUAGUAUGUGUGUAUCUGUAUACCAAUGUGCAUAUGCAGCAGUGUGUAUGUGUAAGUAAGUGUGAAUGCCUACAUAUGUGCAUGUAUAUGUUUGAGUGUACUGUAGCUGUGUUAUGUGUGCAUAUAUGGUGUGUAUGUGUGUAUGCAUGUGUGAAUAUAUAUACAUACAUAUAUGUGUGUGUGUGUGUGUGUGUGUGUGUGUGUGCGUGAUGUUUGUGUAAAAUUUUUAGGAAAGUGACUGAUAAUGAGUUUCUAUUUGGAAUGAUGAGGAUAUCCUAAACCUAGCUCAUGGCAAUGCUGGUAACUUGUGUGAAGAAUACUAAAUUAAGUUGUGCCCUUCAAGUGUGUGAAUAACUGACACAUGGGUGGGUAGUGGCAGGGUACUAAUGAUGAGCUUUCUAGACUCAGCUAAGCAUGCUGUUCUUUCCCCCCUUUACUGAUGUGAGCCCUGGGCAAUCUGUCGGAGGUUUUAUUCAGCUAUGAGAAGAAGGGAGCUGCUUCUCCUCCCUUUUUCUUCUUUGUCUGUGUCUCAUAGACAAAAGGAUCCCAAAUGACAUCCUCAGGCUGGAGUUUUGGUCAGGGAGAAAAACAAAGAUGAUCUAAUACAUUGAAGAACCUUACAAGUGUUGCUUUGGCUGAGGUCAACUGAAAGACCAUAUGACCUUGCCAUGGAGUCCAAGCUGACCUGGAGCCCUCUAAAUGCUGGAGUUAGAGGCCUUCCCUACCAUGCCCAGGCUGUGUAAGCUCAGAGACCGCCUUGUUCACAGCCACAAUUCUCUGGAGAUCCAUCCAUGUCACCGCCCUAUGUCUCAGGAGUUUGUUCCUUCUGAGUGGUGUUGCACAGUGUGGCCAAACCAGAGACACCCAACCAUUUAUAUCUAAAGGUAUACAGGGUGUUUCCAAGUUUCUUGUAUUCAAGUUUUUCAAUUCUUCCUGCUUGGCCCAUGAUAGCCUGAGAUUCUCAUUUGGUUUAUGCCUCUGGUGCUGGGAUUACAGGAACAGGCCACCAUGCUCAGCUCACAAAGAAUCCUUUUUAUGUUUUUGUUUGUUUGUUUUUCGAGACAGAGUUUCUCUGCAGCUUUGGACACAGUCCUGGAACUCUCUCUGUAGACCGGGCUUGUCUCAAACUCACAGAGAUCUGCCUGCUUCUGCCUCCUGAGUGCUGCAAUUAAAGGUGUGUGCCACCAAUGCCCAGUUAAGGAUCCUUAUUAAAGCAUAAUUUACAGGCUGCCUAGUUUUUUUCCUUGAAUUUAUUGAAAACACACACCCCCACACACAUGCAGGCAUGCAUUAGCAGUUCUGCUUUCUGUUUAGCCAUGCAGACUCUGCCUCCUUUGUUUCUUUCCUGUUCCUGUGGCCAGGGCACACUUCACCUCCUUUGCUUUUGUGAUGUAUCUAAGUUGCCACAAGAUCUUGUCUACUAAUCACAUCUGCUUGCAUUUCUCGGAUUUUCUGUGUGUAGUCCACAAUUGGAUGUGUCUCUUGCUGGUGGACCCUGAGCUGAGAUCUGCUGCUUCCUU
RNAcentral lists this long non-coding RNA (3618 nucleotides) under Cricetulus griseus (Chinese hamster). Its description in RNAcentral is "lncRNA (ENSCGRG00015036709.1)". Lineage: Eukaryota; Metazoa; Chordata; Mammalia; Rodentia; Cricetidae. The record is from RNAcentral.